Molecule: long non-coding RNA, 820 nt
Organism: Brienomyrus brachyistius
Lineage: Eukaryota; Metazoa; Chordata; Actinopteri; Osteoglossiformes; Mormyridae
Exons: 4
Source: RefSeq, a predicted model, not a curated record
UACGCAUUUGCGCUGCUACAACAAGGAAUUGCCACGCGUGUACGGGGAAUGCGUACUUGCGCACCAUGCAGUUAUGUGCGCUCCUGAUCAUAUGUAUAGUAUAUUGUACAAUAAAUGCUAUAACAUUUAAGUCGUAUUGUUAGGUCUUUUUUAAUCAUAAAUUUCUAAGUUCAUUCCUGCCGACAGUUGGGGCAGAGACUGUCAUACGCUCUAGGUCACACUCACAGCCAGACGCGGCGCAACAGUGAAAGAUUUACAAAUGUGACAAAAGGUCUUCUGUGUGUCAAUUAAUUCCUACAUAGAGCUUUAAUCCCGUUUACAUGGAAAGCUGUAGUUAUUGUGCCCCUGACAAUUCCAAAUUUCUAUUUGCAGCAAACUGACAAACAGAAUAAGUCCAGGACACUGGAAAAUACUUGAAAAACAUGGAUGUUCCUCAUCAGAUUGGUUCUGUGGACUGUGGUGUGUUCAUGUUGAUUGUUGUCACGUCACGAAUCGGGGAAACAAAGGAUUUAUUGGGGAAACCAGCUAGAAACACGGGACAAUAGAAGUAGCGACUUAAAUGACAUGAUUGGGAAAACAUAUUUUGAAGCGGAGUUAAAUACAUAGGACUAAUGAAAACAACUGGAAACAGCGAAUGACAUCGGGGUUCCACACGAGGUUAACGAGGGGGCGUGGCACACGGGAGGAGCGGACAAGCGGCGCAUGACAAUUUGAGUUGCAGGGAUUUGACAAAAACAUCCUUUUAGAAAUGCGUGAGGAAGGUCAAGACUCUGGUCUCCAGCUCACCGCUCUCUGUUAUAUUUCCAUAGCCAUGUUGUCC